AUACGGAGGGUGCAAGCGUUAAUCGGAAUUACUGGGCGUAAAGCGCGCGUAGGCGGUUUGAUAAGUCGGAUGUGAAAGCCCUGGGCUCAACCUGGGAACUGCAUUCGAAACUAUUUGACUAGAGUAUGGUAGAGGUAAGUGGAAUUCCAGGUGUAGCGGUGAAAUGCGUAGAUAUCUGGAGGAACAUCAGUGGCGAAGGCGACUUACUGGACCAAUACUGACGCUGAGGUGCGAAAGCGUGGGGAGCAAACAGGAUUAGAAACCCCAGUAGUCC
This 274-nucleotide ribosomal RNA is filed under the name uncultured bacterium. Its description in RNAcentral is "partial 16S ribosomal RNA". It matches the Rfam family "Bacterial small subunit ribosomal RNA", at positions 523 to 796 of the family's 1533-position model. The record is from RNAcentral.